RNAcentral lists this unclassified non-coding RNA (138 nucleotides) under Calonectria mexicana. RNAcentral's name for it is "internal transcribed sequence 1". Lineage: Eukaryota; Fungi; Ascomycota; Sordariomycetes; Hypocreales; Nectriaceae. The record is from RNAcentral. RNAcentral also lists the same sequence under 2 other names.
CCGAGUUUACAACUCCCAAACCCCAUGUGAACAUACCUGUUUCGUUCCCUCGGCGGUGUCCGGCAACGGCCCGCCAGAGGACCCAACAAACUCUUUUGAAUUUUUCAGUAUCUUCUGAGUGAAAAAAACAAUAAAUCA